Patella vulgata (common limpet) is the source of this 1017-nucleotide long non-coding RNA. RefSeq lists it as uncharacterized. The transcript is spliced from 5 exons. The record is from RefSeq and is a predicted model, not a curated record. NCBI's taxonomy places the organism in Eukaryota, Metazoa, Mollusca, Gastropoda, Patellidae.
AAGCAUUUCAUACCGAGAGACAGAGAUUCCGAGAGAUAAUCAAGGAAUCUGCCAACAAUGAAGCUGAAUAUUGAUUUGGGUUUACUUCUCAUCGCUCUGGUUGCCAUAUUGACAUUCCACAGAGUUCAAUCAGUGAUCACCGGGGCUGCAACAUGCGACAACAGAAUGUCUUUCUAUGCUGAUGGUGUCCUCUAUACCACCACGCCAAACGAUAAUAGAUGGCCAAGAUUAUCACCUGUCAGGAUUCCCGAUGAUACCGAAGUUGUUGCCAUUAAAUGCGUAAAUACCGGGAGAGUUGGUGGCAUCAAGAUGGCACUCAAUGGCGGUUCUAAAACAGACGUGACGUGGAAAUGUUCUUCUACAUUUGAAGAUAAUUGGAAUAAAGUCGGAUUUUAUGACGCUGCCUGGGCAAAUGCUGUAGUACCCGACUACAACAAUAGACGAAAAAGACCACGAUCUCUGAAUGGUAUAGCUGACUGGAUUUGGACAGAUGGUUAUAGACCGAACCAGGAUACAACAGUCUAUUGUAGAAAAGUUAUCAAAAAUCCAUGUGCUCUCACAGGACGAAAGUUUUUCGUUUAUCCAUUCGACAACACGAAAUACUACCAAUGUGAUAACAUGGUUGCCAAGCUACGUGACUGCGCACCUGGUACAGUAUGGAAACAAUCAGCCCGUACUUGUGUUAUGGACAGCGUUCCAGACAGUGGCUGCAUCAACAGACGUAUCACAGCUGAUCCAGCCAAUUGUACUAAAUUCUAUAAUUGUUCUAAAGGUAAACGAAUCGGAGAACCAAUGUCUUGUGCACCUGGCUCGGUUUUUAACAAAAAAAAGAAUAAAUGUGAUCACAUCUAUAACGUUCCAAACUGCCCCUAAAACCGAUCCUGUUUAAUGAUUUCAAUACACCAAACUAUUGAAUUAGGAAUAAGAUUUACCUAGUGUUAUGUUUAAUUAUUUUGGCUUAAAUUGGUUUCUAUCACGACUGUCGAUACCGGAAAUAUUUAGAGUUUAUAUUCUGAC